CAUUGAAGGAAGAAAAAAGAAAUGCUGUUUUCUGUUUCCUUUUCCUAGGUGCCUUUAUUGCUGGACAUUGUGAGUUUCCACCAACAAGCGCCUGGGUCAGGCUGCAGGUGGAGAGAGAGAGCUGCCUGCUCCAGUUCUGGAGCUCCCGCUUUAAGAACAUCCUGAACUGAAGAAAAAUAAGGUGUUUUCUGAGGACAAGUAAGAAUCAAGGAUGUUUACCGUUGGGGGAAUCUAGCAGUGAUGCUGUUUUCUGCAUUCAGCACAGUAUUGUCCUGAUACCUGAGGCACUUGGGCUUCAUCAGCAACAAACUCAAACCCACAAAUCAUAAAGUUAGAGGACAAUGUCAAAGCAAGCCAAAGUCUUGCCAAAGAGCUCAAGAAAUGCCAAUACUACAGUCUGAGAGUUACUUGCUAUAACAUGGAGCCACCAUUGCUACAAUAUGCCAAGGUAUGUCCAACCCUAGAGCCAUACUGAAAUGCCUUUAUAUGUAUUUCAGUUCUUAUCACACUAACUUCUGAUCUAAUGGCUUACUGCAGAAGAAAAUUAAAUUAAAAUAAAUAAUAAAAUAAUACAAACUCUGCUGCCA
Molecule: long non-coding RNA, 587 nt
Filed under: Numida meleagris (helmeted guineafowl)
Lineage: Eukaryota; Metazoa; Chordata; Aves; Galliformes; Numididae
Description: lncRNA (ENSNMEG00000022130.1)
Source: RNAcentral